AGAUGUGUGGGCAAUCUGGCUGAGACAUCUGUCACCCCAUUGAUCACCAGGGUUGAUUUGGCUGACGUGGCUGACUAGGCAGAUGUCCCCCUGUCUCUUAUACACAUCUAGAUGUGUAUAAGAGACAGCUCCAAACACAGAGCACCAGUCUUCAGGAAGGGUGGAAUAGCUGUUCUCCCCUUCUAGAAACUCCAAACAAGCUCUCAAGAAAACAAUCAAGUGGUAAAAAAAUGUUUGAAACAGUUUGGGUUUUUACAACUAUGGACAAAGUAAGGAGAGAUGUUAACUCUGACU
RNAcentral lists this small nuclear RNA (294 nucleotides) under Neotoma lepida (desert woodrat). RNAcentral describes it as "7SK RNA". It matches the Rfam family "7SK RNA". Rfam says of the family: 7SK was discovered as an abundant small nuclear RNA in the mid-70s but a possible function has only recently been suggested. Two independent studies have found that 7SK RNA binds the CDK9/cyclin T complex (known as elongation factor P-TEFb). The record is from Rfam by way of RNAcentral. Lineage: Eukaryota; Metazoa; Chordata; Mammalia; Rodentia; Cricetidae.